CAGCUCUGUGUUGCGAGGGCUCCUCGCCCUCGGUGCUCCUGCCUGGCACCUGAAGCUGCCAGCGAUCUCCUGCCAAAGCCAGUCUGGGCCAGACCCCUCUGGAGCCAGCUGGGGCCUCCACCCUCAGUUCCACCAACAGAGCUGCCUUUGUGCCCUCAGCCAGCCCAGGGCUGCGGGUGGAGGCCCCAGGCAGCUUGCCAAGUUGCGGGAAACCCAAACCUCAGGUUCUGGGAGAUGCAGAGAUGAAAGAUCCUGUGGCUGCCGGAGGAAGAGAAGAACUGAGUGCUCAUGAGCCAGAGCAUGCUCCACACGCUCCUGGCCCUCGGGCCCCUCACCCUCAGUCCCUGCCCUCAUCCCUUCAUGCAAGGCUGAAUUCAACCUUGGGAAGAAUUCUUCCUUGAGGUAUUUGCAACAGGUCAUGUUGGUGACAGCAACAGGAGAGUGGGGAAGACCUGCUGUUCCUUCUGCCACCCUCCACACCAGCUGGCCACACAAGGCUGGCAAAGCUCUGCACGGCUGUUCAGUACUCUACCACCUGGUGUCACCUGAAGGAUGGGCAGGCACCCAUAAACAUCACACUUCCCAGCCAAUCUCAUGGUGAUCUGGGAAUUGUGGCAGCUCAAGCUGAUGCAGAAGCUGUUGCCUUUGGCAUGGUGUGGUCCCUCACCUGGACAAUUGGCCUACCUGGAGUCCCUGCAGAAAGGAAGUCACCUGGCGUGUGGUAAAGUGAAGAUGCCUGCUCUCCAGAUUGAGAGCACUCAGAGCUCAGGAGAGACCCAUUCAUUGCUGCUCUUGGGCCACAAACCUCUCUGUGACAGCAGAGCGUGACAGUGGCACCUGAAGUGCCUCCACUUAAUCCCCAGGUAUACCUCACUCCUUACAGGUGGAAGGGCCUGUCUGGGUCUGGGGAUGUCAGUUGGGGUGGCAGCCCUGACUAGCAGAUGCUCUCUCCCACCAGUGAAGAAGAGCAUCUCCUUGACUCCUGGCCAGGUAUGAGUCACUAUAGACAGUACUGAUCUACACACGCCCAGGGGACACCAGCAACUACCUCGCACACUGACAGCAGGUGCCCACAAUUGUCCUAAAAGGAAAACCUGAGGAUGAGAUUCCAGCUUCUUGAGGGCCCCUUGAGUCCUCAGAGAGGGCAUGGGUCUGCCCCACUGCUAGACAUGCCUUCCACCAGUCCCUUUCUGUUUCCAAGAGCAAAGGACACAUGCAAAUGGGCUUAGAAAACAGCAAACUCCUGUCUCGCUGGGGGAAUCAGCAGUGCUGGCCACCCAGCUGUCCCUCUUCUGUCCUCAGCUUCCUGUCCUCAGCCUCCUGUCUCCCCAGCAUUGUGUCUCCUCCUUCUUCUGCCACAGCUUGUUCCUGGCCCCUGCACAUCUGUGGCACAUGGACUUUCCAAGCUUCUCACUCACAUCCAUGUCUUGGCUGCCCGGGUCUUUCCGAAGGCCAUGUCUCUGGUUCUUGGACCACUCUGUCCUCCAGCUUUGACCCACUGACUGCUCC
Molecule: long non-coding RNA, 1509 nt
Organism: Heterocephalus glaber (naked mole-rat)
Lineage: Eukaryota; Metazoa; Chordata; Mammalia; Rodentia; Bathyergidae
Source: Ensembl